UCUUCCAUGGCUUCUGUGUCGCCUGGAUACGGAAAUUCUCGCCUCUCAUGCAACUGAGCUAGCUCUUGCUCCUCCUUUGGCCUUGGAUUCAGCGUCCACCAACCAAGCGGCGUUGUAUCGCUGUAGAGGCACGCACCCCCGAAUAGCGUGUAGGUGCAGAGCAAAGCCUUGCCUACUUGCUUCCAGAAGUACCCAGUCUUCUUUUCCCAAUCCUGUUUUCCUCAGGUACCUGUAGUAAUUCAC
Molecule: unclassified non-coding RNA, 243 nt
Filed under: Hevea brasiliensis (rubber tree)
Lineage: Eukaryota; Viridiplantae; Streptophyta; Magnoliopsida; Malpighiales; Euphorbiaceae
Source: RNAcentral